This is a long non-coding RNA of Rhipicephalus sanguineus (brown dog tick), 766 nucleotides long. RefSeq lists it as uncharacterized. NCBI's taxonomy places the organism in Eukaryota, Metazoa, Arthropoda, Arachnida, Ixodida, Ixodidae. The record is from RefSeq and is a predicted model, not a curated record. The transcript is spliced from 4 exons.
AUUAACAAAUGGAUGGGGCCUGCGUGUGGAGAUCAGCAGGUGGAAGAAUGCUUACGCAUCAUCAUCUGUGCGCCUAACUGUUCCCGUUUCUGCCGUUGACGUUGCUCCCUCUCCCACCGUUCAUUGUUUCUAGACCCUCACCGCUCGUUCGUGAACGUCUCUAGCCUAGGCAGCAUCGCAUCCAUCCGAGCACACGUACGCAUUCCACCACGUCGCUCGGCAGACUGAGUGAUCCUGGACGACAUGUGAGUAGACGUGCUUUGCAAAUACGAAUGAUGAUUUCAGCAUUAAUAAUUAUAUAUGCAGCAUGUGUUGCGUCUGUUGUAUGCCAGCUCUACGAUCCUCGCUGCCCGCAAAGGGAGCACAGACAUGGAUGUCUAUUCAUGGGGCGUCUAAUUGGUACAGGAGCAACUGUGAAUUUGCGUAUACCUUGCCUAAGAAUAACCUGCCAUCGAGAUGGAUCUGUCACCAGCAGAGGGUGUCCACAGGAGCCUGGAAGGAACCCUCAUCCCGGGGCCCCUCCUUUUCCCGGAGUUUGGCCGCACUGCUGUGACAUGUGCAGUUGAGUUCAGCCGAAAAUGAAGGGCAGUGGCUGAGCCGAACUGAUGAGGGCAAGAUUGCUACAGCGGGAGCAUGAUUCCGUCGUAUUCGUGACAUCGCUGAAGAAGUGUAAUUUACAAGAAUAAGCUUUUAUCUGUUGCAGUCAGUAAUCUGAAGUUGUUAUUUAAAAUAUAUAUUGUGCAAAACAAGCACGCUACUGCUGCGA